RNAcentral lists this ribosomal RNA (480 nucleotides) under uncultured bacterium. Its description in RNAcentral is "partial 16S ribosomal RNA". It matches the Rfam family "Bacterial small subunit ribosomal RNA", at positions 28 to 523 of the family's 1533-position model. The record is from RNAcentral.
GACGAACGCUGGCGGCGUGCUUAACACAUGCAAGUCGAGCGAUGAAACACCUUCGGGUGCGGAUUAGCGGCGAACGGGUGAGGAACACGUGAGGAAUCUGCCUUCCACUCUGGGAUAACUCCGGGAAACCGGGGCUAAUACCGGAUACUUUCAACUGGCGGCAUCGCCGGUUGAAGAAAGUUUUUCGGUGGAAGAUGACCUCGCGGCCUAUCAGCUUGUUGGUGAGGUAAAGGCUCACCAAGGCGACGACGGGUAGCCGGCCUGAGCGGGCGACCGGCCGCACAGGGACUGAGACGCGGCCCAGACUCCUACGGGAGGCAGCAGUGGGGAAUAUUGGGCAAUGGAGGAAACUCUGACCCAGCGACGCCGCGUGAGGGAUGAAGGCCUUCGGGUUGUAAACCUCUUUCAGCAGGGAAUAAGCGAAAGUGAAGGUACCUGCAGAAGAAGCACCGGCUAACUAUGUGCCAGCCGCCGCAGUAA